AUAGCAACGUUUGACAACUGUGAAAAUAACUCAGGUGCUGCUAUGAAUCCUUGAAUUCUGGAAAACGCAAGAAGAAGUUCGUGUUUUUCUAUUUUAUAAGAAGACAAAAAGAAAAAAAAAAUGGAGGAUCGACCACUGGCCAGAAUUGGCCCCACAGGAGGAGGAGAUGUGAGAGCAGCAUGCAAAAAGUGUGGUUAUCCUGGCCACCUUACCUACCAGUGCAGGAAUUUUGUGAAGGUGGAUCCAAAGAAAGAUGUGGUCCUGGAUGUCUCAUCUACAUCAUCUGAAUUCAGUGAUGAUGAGACACCUCUUACGCAACUUAAUGCACAGGAACUGCUUGCAAAGAUGAAGGAAGAGAAACACCUCAGGAAAGAGAGAAAGAAGCACAAGAAGGAAAAGAAGAAGAAGAAGAAGUUGCGUACAGAUAGCCCCAGCCAAUCAAGGUCAGGGGAAAGGGAUAGGAAGAAAAAAAAGAGGAAGAGCAAGCAUUCCUCGUCAGAAAGUUCCUCUUCAGAGAGUUCCUCGGACAGUGACUCAGAGGAGGAUGAAACACGAAAAGAUAAGAAGAAAAAGAAGAAGGAAAAGAAAAGGAAAAAGGAGAAAAAGAAAAGGGACAAUGAGAGGGACUGAAAAAUUGGAUACAGCUCACUCAUGUGACGUAUGUAUGAGUCCUUCUAUAUAAUGACACAUCUUCAACUUCCCUUAUAGCUUGUGUGCAGGGGUGUUGAGUCUCCAGAGUUAUGAUGAUAUUGAAACAAAGCUGUACCUGAAUCAAGACCCUUAAAAGAAUGCAGAGAUUAUUUAAGAUUCUUCCCUUCAGCUCAGGAUAGUAUAGAUUUUUUUAAUUCCUCUUUCUUUGCUUAAAUUGUCUCAAUGAUAUUAUCAUUGAUAUUACUAUUGAUAUCAUUGUCAUCAUUAUCACUAUUUAUUUUUUUAUGGACCAGUAAUAUCACCGCAUUCCUUCUUUGUUUAUUAUGUUAAAUACAAGCUACAUAAACAGGAAACAUGAAAGAGAAAAACUUGCCAAGAAUGAUCAAGUGAAGGCAUAUUAAUUAGGGUUCCCUGAGUACCUGCCUGACCAUGUUGUCCUUAUCUUUGUAAUGCUAAGAAUAAAUACAUGAAUAUCA
This 1127-nucleotide unclassified non-coding RNA is filed under the name Penaeus chinensis. RNAcentral's name for it is "protein SREK1IP1-like, transcript variant X1". Lineage: Eukaryota; Metazoa; Arthropoda; Malacostraca; Decapoda; Penaeidae. The record is from RNAcentral.